ACCCAUCGUGUCAGGUGACGGACGGGUUCGACAGGCAUGGGUGCGAACAAAAAGCGGAAGGUUCAAGCGAGCGACAGCGAAACUAGCAGUGAUGGAGAUUCAAGAAGGUAACUCUGAGCCGGAUAGCACUCCCGGGACAGGGUUACGGGCCGGGGAAUGUUCUGGCCACACUGGUUAUGUUUCAGCCGCGUCGCUGCAUGCUUGAAUACCAAGAAAUGUCAGUGGGUUAAGGCGUAGAAAUGACAGAAAGAAAAGUGUUGGAGCAUAGAAGCAUAGAAAAAUUGUAAACAAACAGAUACUGUAAAAGCAGGAAGGUAAAAAAAGAUUCUGGCGUGGUUAAAGAUAGAAUUUACGGUAGAUUAGUAGAAAAUUUGAUAGUAAAAGUGAAGUUCGGAAAGAUAGAUCAGUUGGAAGUGAAAGAUAGUGUUGCAUCGUUGGUAAUAAUUCAGGCAGUUUAAGGUUGGGGAAAUCGCAUGCAAGGAAAAACUAGAUUUGUAAGCUAAAUUUAUUUGUUACAAUUCACCGAUUAAAUAAAACUAAUUCUAGUUGAAGCUGUUUAAAGUGAAACUGCUGUUCGAAA
Molecule: long non-coding RNA, 580 nt
Organism: Wyeomyia smithii (pitcher-plant mosquito)
Lineage: Eukaryota; Metazoa; Arthropoda; Insecta; Diptera; Culicidae
Exons: 2
Source: RefSeq, a predicted model, not a curated record